CGGAGGAUCCAAGCGUUACCCGGAAUCAUUGGGUUUAAAGGGUCCGUAGGCGGUUUGAUAAGUCAGUGGUGAAAGCCCAUCGCUCAACGAUGGAACGGCCAUUGAUACUGUCAGACUUGAAUUACUGGGAAGUAACUAGAAUAUGUAGUGUAGCGGUGAAAUGCUUAGAUAUUACAUGGAAUACCAAUUGCGAAGGCAGGUUACUACCAGUGGAUUGACGCUGAUGGACGAAAGCGUGGGGAGCGAACAGGAUUAGAUACCCUGGUAGUCCACGCCGUAAACGAUGGAUACUAGCUGUUCGGAGCAAUCUGAGUGGCUAAGCGAAAGUGAUAAGUAUCCCACCUGGGGAGUACGUUCGCAAGAAUG
This 366-nucleotide ribosomal RNA is filed under the name uncultured organism. Its description in RNAcentral is "bacterial SSU rRNA". It matches the Rfam family "Bacterial small subunit ribosomal RNA", at positions 526 to 896 of the family's 1533-position model. The record is from RNAcentral.